AGAGUUUGAUCCUGGCUCAGGAUGAACGCUAGCGGCAGGCUUAACACAUGCAAGUCGAGGGGCAGCGGGGAGGAAGCUUGCUUUCUCCGCCGGCGACCGGCGCACGGGUGAGUAACACGUAUGCAACCUGCCCCUGUCAGGGGGACAACCCGCCGAAAGGCGGGCUAAACCCGCGUACAUGCCACCGGGGCAUCCCGGAGGCAGGAAAGGCUUCGGCCGGACAGGGAUGGGCAUGCGGCGCAUUAGGCAGUAGGCGGGGUAACGGCCCACCUAACCGACGAUGCGUAGGGGUUCUGAGAGGAAGGUCCCCCACACUGGUACUGAGACACGGACCAGACUCCUACGGGAGGCAGCAGUGAGGAAUAUUGGUCAAUGGUCGGGAGACUGAACCAGCCAAGCCGCGUGAGGGAGGAAGGUACAGAGUAUCGUAAACCUCUUUUGUCAGGGAACAAAGACUGGGACGCGUCCCCGGAUGAGUGUACCUGAAGAAAAAGCAUCGGCUAACUCCGUGCCAGCAGCCGCGGUAAUACGGAGGAUGCGAGCGUUAUCCGGAUUUAUUGGGUUUAAAGGGUGCGCAGGCGGUCUGUUAAGUCAGCGGUCAAAGCCCGGGGCUCAACCCCGGCCCGCCGUUGAAACUGGCAGUCUCGAGUUGGAGAGAAGUAUGCGGAAUGCGCGGUGUAGCGGUGAAAUGCAUAGAUAUCGCGCAGAACUCCGAUUGCGAAGGCAGCAUGCCGGCUCCACACUGACGCUGAGGCACGAAAGCGUGGGUAUCGAACAGGAUUAGAUACCCUGGUAGUCCACGCAGUAAACGAUGAAUGCUGGCUGUCCGGGGGGACUGACCCCUGGGUGGCGAAGCGAAAGCGAUAAGCAUUCCACCUGGGGAGUACGCCGGCAACGGUGAAACUCAAAGGAAUUGACGGGGGCCCGCACAAGCGGAGGAACAUGUGGUUUAAUUCGAUGAUACGCGAGGAACCUUACCCGGGCUCAAACGGGGAGUGGCGCAGGCAGAGACGCCUGUUUCCCACGGGACACUCCCCGAGGUGCUGCAUGGUUGUCGUCAGCUCGUGCCGUGAGGUGUCGGCUUAAGUGCCAUAACGAGCGCAACCCCCGCGUGCAGUUGCUAACAGUCAACGCUGAGGACUCUGCACGGACUGCCGGCGCAAGCCGCGAGGAAGGCGGGGAUGACGUCAAAUCAGCACGGCCCUUACGUCCGGGGCGACACACGUGUUACAAUGGGUGGUACAGCGGGAAGCCAGGCGGCGACGCCGAGCGGAACCCGAAAUCCACUCUCAGUUCGGAUCGGAGUCUGCAACCCGACUCCGUGAAGCUGGUUUCGCUAGUAAUCGCGCAUCAGCCAUGGCGCGGUGAAUACGUUCCCGGGCCUUGCACUCACCGCCCGUCA
RNAcentral lists this ribosomal RNA (1402 nucleotides) under uncultured bacterium. RNAcentral's name for it is "16S ribosomal RNA". It matches the Rfam family "Bacterial small subunit ribosomal RNA". The record is from RNAcentral.